GUUGAACGCUGGCGGCAUGCCUUACACAUGCAAGUCGAACGGUAACAGGUCUUCGGAUGCUGACGAGUGGCGAACGGGUGAGUAAUACAUCGGAACGUGCCUAGUAGUGGGGGAUAACUACUCGAAAGAGUGGCUAAUACCGCAUGAGAUCUACGGAUGAAAGCAGGGGAUCGCAAGACCUUGUGCUACUAGAGCGGCCGAUGGCAGAUUAGGUAGUUGGUGGGAUAAAAGCUUACCGAGCCGACGAUCUGUAGCUGGUCUGAGAGGACGAUCAGCCACACUGGGGCUGAGACACGGCCCAGACUCCUACGGGAGGCAGCAGUGGGGAAUUUUGGACAAUGGGCGAAAGCCUGAUCCAGCAAUGCCGCGUGCAGGAUGAAGGCCUUCGGGUUGUAAACUGCUUUUGUACGGAACGAAAAGCCCUGGGUUAAUACCCUGGGGUCAUGACGGUACCGUAAGAAUAAGCACCGGCUAACUACGUGCCAGCCGCCGCCGUAA
RNAcentral lists this ribosomal RNA (498 nucleotides) under uncultured bacterium. RNAcentral describes it as "partial 16S ribosomal RNA". It matches the Rfam family "Bacterial small subunit ribosomal RNA", at positions 28 to 523 of the family's 1533-position model. The record is from RNAcentral.